Cucumis melo (muskmelon) is the source of this 1882-nucleotide long non-coding RNA. RefSeq lists it as uncharacterized. The record is from RefSeq and is a predicted model, not a curated record. NCBI's taxonomy places the organism in Eukaryota, Viridiplantae, Streptophyta, Magnoliopsida, Cucurbitales, Cucurbitaceae. The transcript has 3 exons.
UAUAUUUUUCAUCUUCUUUUUCCUCACAUCUAAACGGUUGGCGUUGCCUUCUCCAUCUUUUCUUCUUGUCGUCGCGCCGUCAAUCGUAGCUCGUCUGUCGGCCGUAGCGUCUAGCCACCGCCGCCGUUCUCGUCGUCCCUGCAGCUUCAGUAUGCAAGACAAGUCAUUGAUGGCUAACGUUUCUGAAAAUCGUUAUGCUCCGAAUGUCCACACUCUGACGAUCUGACUUAUUUACCUAAUGGAGAUAACUUUCUUCGUUGGUCCCAUGGUGUUCAAAUGUAUAUUCAUAGACAAGUAAAAAUAGGAUAUCUUACCAGAGAGAAAGGCACCGGCCAAAGUUGAUCCAUUGUUUGCUACUUGGAUACUGAAAACGCCAUUGUUAUGACUUGGAACUAUGUGUGUUACUCUAUCGUGAAGAACUCACUGCAUGAAAUUUUGGAUCUCUCGACAUCACUUUAAAUCGUCAGGAGAUGAUGCUUUGGGAGAUAAGGCCUCUCCUGACGCAACCAUCAGCAAGUUCACGGCAUCGGGAGAUAGAAGCGAAUUCCCGAUGCAUUAAUUAAAGCGUCGACAGUUUUGGGGAUAACUCUCAAUGCAUGUUGGACGGCGUCGGGAGUUAGUCUUUAAAAACCCUCCCAGAUUUGUACUUCACAAACCUGCGAAGAAGGGGAAGGGGAUGGGUAUAAUUCUAUGGAGAGAGGUGCUAGGUCUAUAACCCACCUCUUACUGGCGCCGUCGUCGCUGUCUUCUUCUAGGCUCCUAAAGAAGAGGGUCACUAUUAUCAUGGUAGAGUUUCCUGAUGGUGGCUUAAACAAAGCUUAGCUCGUCUUGAUUCCUCUCGUAGAAUCCUUGGUACUUUUCUUCUCACUAAGAGAUCCACAAACACCGUUUCUACUUUGCUGCUUGACGCCUUUAAGCCCAUCGGUGCUUCUCACCUCUUCUUCAAUCUCUUAUACGGUUUGUUCUUCUUUCUGGGUUUCUUUGUUUUUCUUCUACAAUUGAUUUGUUUGUUGUUGGAUGUGCUUGAAAUUGUUUGUAUAGUGAUCUAAUUUUCUUCUAUUUGUGGGGUUUUUUCAAGGAUGGAAGAUAUUUUGUGACAUUAUACUGAGAUUUUUAUUCAUCUGCUUGUUAAUUCUUAUUAAUUACCAGGUGAACUCUGCUUAUUAUUGAUAUAAACUGUCUUCUCGGAUUCUAAUUGCAAGUGCUUCAGUUUUCAUGGGAUUGGAAAGAGGGAAGGGGGUUCUUAAAUGGUUGUGUUGUGAAUAGAUUCUUCCUUUAGAAUUGGUGAAUUAUGGUGUUUUCUUUGAUGUCUUGGUAAUGAUUUGGAUAUACAUAUAUUAUGAAAGUGAAUUUGUUCUGUUAGAUCCUUCAUCGCUCAUUCGGGAUCAUGGGUGAAGGAGGUUUACUGUAGGAACUGUGGGAUGUUAAGGAUGCCAAUGGCAAUCCGUUUGCUACCUUUGCUGGUUUCUGGGAGAGAUGUCUUAGCAUGCCUUGUAAUCCAAAAGCACCACUACUACCACCUAAGAGAAUAGUUUCAGCUCAAAAUAAGGCCAAGCAGAGAACCCGAACCUUGGAGAUUCAGAACCUAAACCACUCAUCCUUUUGUUCUGCUUUAUUACAAACUUAAUGUGGGCAGAUAUUGUGAAUGGUUCACGUUAUGUUUCAUUGUAUACUUUCAUGAGUACCCUUCAUUCUUGUUCUUUUACAAGGAAAUGGACCUUGUGUCUAAAUAUGGUCUGCAACGUGGGACUUUGAAGGGUGAAUUAUUUAUAAUUUUAUCAGAGCAAGGAAACAAUGGUAUGUAACAAUGUUGAGACAAAUGUGGAUUACUUCACUCUCAUUAUUAUUAUAAUUGUUGAAAAGUUGUGCACCAAAGUUCAAA